This 118-nucleotide non-coding RNA is filed under the name Catagonus wagneri (Chacoan peccary). The record is from RNAcentral. Lineage: Eukaryota; Metazoa; Chordata; Mammalia; Artiodactyla; Tayassuidae.
GUCUUAUGUGGAAGAGAGAAGGUUAAUGCUCCCUUUGACAAGAAUGGAGGAGGCGUGGGCAACACACGUGGAAUUAAGGCAUUGCCAGCUUCUUGGUGGCCUCUGAGCAUGGUUUGGA